Cotesia glomerata is the source of this 568-nucleotide long non-coding RNA. RefSeq lists it as uncharacterized. The record is from RefSeq and is a predicted model, not a curated record. The transcript is spliced from 2 exons. Lineage: Eukaryota; Metazoa; Arthropoda; Insecta; Hymenoptera; Braconidae.
GGCUGUUGGCUGCUCCAAGGAGUGAGCGAUGCAUGCCAAACUCGUGCUUUCGUUCAACAUAAAAGAUACUCGGUUAUAAACCAACUAAACCUUUCUUCUCCUCGACGCUAGUGACUGAGGAUGGAAAUGAUGUACUUACCGAGUGUGAGACAACGUGAGAUCUGACGAACGAGCGACAGCAGUCAAAAGACACUCAACAAACUUCUUUUGGAUCCGUCGUCGCGGUAUCGUGGGAAUCAGUGACGUGACAAGCUCCUGCGACUCGUUUACCUGUCAUUCCUAUAUACAGACCAAAACGAUUAACCUUCAAUAAAAAAAAAAUCAUUAAUUAAUCUGAAUUAAAAUUAUCUGUUUCAUUAUAAUGAGAGUUUUAAUUCGCUGAUUCGUCAUUUGGUGGAUGUACAGGGUAUUUUUAACUCGAUUCGGGUAAUAAUACUGUACUUCGGUUAAAUAAUUGGAGCAAUUAGGAAAAAAUGUUGAAAUGAAGGAUUAUAUUGACAAUUAUCGAUUAUUUUUCUGUAUAAAUUUUAGAAAAUUAGAUUCCAAAUAAAUUUCACUCAUAAUUUAA